GGGGUAAUGUUUAUGGAAUGAGCGGCGGACGGGUGAGUAACACGUGGGCAACCUGCCUGUAAGAUCGGGAUAACUCGCGGAAACGUGAGCUAAUACCGGAUAACACUUUUCAUCUCAUGGUGAGAAGAUAAAAGACGGUUUCGGCUGUCACUUACAGAUGGGCCCGCGGCGCAUUAGCUAGUUGGUGAGGUAACGGCUCACCAAGGCGACGAUGCGUAGCCGACCUGAGAGGGUGAUCGGCCACACUGGGACUGAGACACGGCCCAGACUCCUACGGGAGGCAGCAGUAGGGAAUCUUCCGCAAUGGACGAAAGUCUGACGGAGCAACGCCGCGUGAGUGAUGAAGGUUUUCGGAUCGUAAAACUCUGUUGUUAGGGAAGAACAAGUUGGGUAGUAACUGACCCAACCUUGACGGUACCUAACCAGAAAGCCACGGCUAACUACGUGCCAGCAGCCGCGGUAAUACGUAGGUGGCAAGCGUUGUCCGGAAUUAUUGGGCGUAAAGCGCUCGCAGGCGGUCUUUUAAGUCUGAUGUGAAAGCCCACGGCUUAACCGUGGAGGGUCAUUGGAAACUGGAGGACUUGAGUACAGAAGAGGAGA
RNAcentral lists this ribosomal RNA (600 nucleotides) under Oceanobacillus kapialis. RNAcentral describes it as "bacterial SSU rRNA". It matches the Rfam family "Bacterial small subunit ribosomal RNA", at positions 74 to 660 of the family's 1533-position model. The record is from RNAcentral. Lineage: Bacteria; Bacillati; Bacillota; Bacilli; Caryophanales; Bacillaceae.